ACAAUACAUGUAUGUUUUAAGUCACUCUGGAUAAGAGCGUCUGCUAAAUGACGUAAA
Non-coding RNA from Salmo salar (Atlantic salmon), 57 nucleotides. The record is from Rfam. NCBI's taxonomy places the organism in Eukaryota, Metazoa, Chordata, Actinopteri, Salmoniformes, Salmonidae.